GUAGCCUUUCAGGUUUAUCAAUGCAUGUUGGGAUCUUCCAGCAGAAGAAAGUAAGUCACAGGCAUUGAGAAGUCAAAAGAGUACUAGAAAGUACUUUCUGCUCUGAAUUCGGCAAACUUCAUUGUGCCAUGGAAAGCUGGGGAACAGCAGCACAGUUAGAGGAUCAAAAUAAUAUUGGCAAAGGUGGGAAUGGCGUUUUGAAAAGUAUUUAAGCACAGUUGCUUCUUUCGAACAGGUGACAUGUCAAAAAAUUUUGGUAAGUAAAAACAAUUAAUUUCUGCAGUGCGCUCCCAUAACUGCACAUCUUUGUGCAGUGA
Molecule: long non-coding RNA, 317 nt
Filed under: Struthio camelus australis
Lineage: Eukaryota; Metazoa; Chordata; Aves; Struthioniformes; Struthionidae
Description: lncRNA (ENSSCUG00000010260.1)
Source: RNAcentral